GUUAAGCGACUAAGCGUACACGGUGGAUGCCCUGGCAGUCAGAGGCGAUGAAGGACGUGCUAAUCUGCGAUAAGCGUCGGUAAGGUGAUAUGAACCGUUAUAACCGGCGAUUUCCGAAUGGGGAAACCCAGUGUGAUUCGUCACACUAUCAUUAACUGAAUCCAUAGGUUAAUGAGGCGAACCGGGGGAACUGAAACAUCUAAGUACCCCGAGGAAAAGAAAUCAACCGAGAUUCCCCCAGUAGCGGCGAGCGAACGGGGAGGAGCCCAGAGCCUGAAUCAGUGUGUGUGUUAGUGGAAGCGUCUGGAAAGGCGCGCGAUACAGGGUGACAGCCCCGUACACAAAAAUGCACAUGCUGUGAGCUCGAUGAGUAGGGCGGGACACGUGGUAUCCUGUCUGAAUAUGGGGGGACCAUCCUCCAAGGCUAAAUACUCCUGACUGACCGAUAGUGAACCAGUACCGUGAGGGAAAGGCGAAAAGAACCCCGGCGAGGGGAGUGAAAAAGAACCUGAAACCGUGUACGUACAAGCAGUGGGAGCACGCUUAGGCGUGUGACUGCGUACCUUUUGUAUAAUGGGUCAGCGACUUAUAUUCUGUAGCAAGGUUAACCGAAUAGGGGAGCCGAAGGGAAACCGAGUCUUAACUGGGCGUUAAGUUGCAGGGUAUAGACCCGAAACCCGGUGAUCUAGCCAUGGGCAGGUUGAAGGUUGGGUAACACUAACUGGAGGACCGAACCGACUAAUGUUGAAAAAUUAGCGGAUGACUUGUGGCUGGGGGUGAAAGGCCAAUCAAACCGGGAGAUAGCUGGUUCUCCCCGAAAGCUAUUUAGGUAGCGCCUCGUGAAUUCAUCUCCGGGGGUAGAGCACUGUUUCGGCAAGGGGGUCAUCCCGACUUACCAACCCGAUGCAAACUGCGAAUACCGGAGAAUGUUAUCACGGGAGACACACGGCGGGUGCUAACGUCCGUCGUGAAGAGGGAAACAACCCAGACCGCCAGCUAAGGUCCCAAAGUCAUGGUUAAGUGGGAAACGAUGUGGGAAGGCCCAGACAGCCAGGAUGUUGGCUUAGAAGCAGCCAUCAUUUAAAGAAAGCGUAAUAGCUCACUGGUCGAGUCGGCCUGCGCGGAAGAUGUAACGGGGCUAAACCAUGCACCGAAGCUGCGGCAGCGACACUGUGUGUUGUUGGGUAGGGGAGCGUUCUGUAAGCCUGCGAAGGUGUGCUGUGAGGCAUGCUGGAGGUAUCAGAAGUGCGAAUGCUGACAUAAGUAACGAUAAAGCGGGUGAAAAGCCCGCUCGCCGGAAGACCAAGGGUUCCUGUCCAACGUUAAUCGGGGCAGGGUGAGUCGACCCCUAAGGCGAGGCCGAAAGGCGUAGUCGAUGGGAAACAGGUUAAUAUUCCUGUACUUGGUGUUACUGCGAAGGGGGGACGGAGAAGGCUAUGUUGGCCGGGCGACGGUUGUCCCGGUUUAAGCGUGUAGGCUGGUUUUCCAGGCAAAUCCGGAAAAUCAAGGCUGAGGCGUGAUGACGAGGCACUACGGUGCUGAAGCAACAAAUGCCCUGCUUCCAGGAAAAGCCUCUAAGCAUCAGGUAACAUCAAAUCGUACCCCAAACCGACACAGGUGGUCAGGUAGAGAAUACCAAGGCGCUUGAGAGAACUCGGGUGAAGGAACUAGGCAAAAUGGUGCCGUAACUUCGGGAGAAGGCACGCUGAUACGUAGGUGAAGUCCCUCGCGGAUGGAGCUGAAAUCAGUCGAAGAUACCAGCUGGCUGCAACUGUUUAUUAAAAACACAGCACUGUGCAAACACGAAAGUGGACGUAUACGGUGUGACGCCUGCCCGGUGCCGGAAGGUUAAUUGAUGGGGUCAGCGCAAGCGAAGCUCUUGAUCGAAGCCCCGGUAAACGGCGGCCGUAACUAUAACGGUCCUAAGGUAGCGAAAUUCCUUGUCGGGUAAGUUCCGACCUGCACGAAUGGCGUAAUGAUGGCCAGGCUGUCUCCACCCGAGACUCAGUGAAAUUGAACUCGCUGUGAAGAUGCAGUGUACCCGCGGCAAGACGGAAAGACCCCGUGAACCUUUACUAUAGCUUGACACUGAACAUUGAGCCUUGAUGUGUAGGAUAGGUGGGAGGCUUUGAAGUGUGGACGCCAGUCUGCAUGGAGCCGACCUUGAAAUACCACCCUUUAAUGUUU
Molecule: ribosomal RNA, 2187 nt
Filed under: Escherichia coli
Lineage: Bacteria; Pseudomonadati; Pseudomonadota; Gammaproteobacteria; Enterobacterales; Enterobacteriaceae
Description: partial 23S ribosomal RNA
Rfam family: Bacterial large subunit ribosomal RNA
Source: RNAcentral